ACUCCUACGGGAGGCAGCAGUGGGGAAUAUUGCACAAUGGGCGCAAGCCUGAUGCAGCCAUGCCGCGUGUGUGAAGAAGGCCUUCGGGUUGUAAAGCACUUUCAGUCGUGAGGAGUAGUGUAGUUAACUAGCUGCAUUUAUUUGACGUUAGCGACAGAAGGAAGCACCCGGGCUAACUCCGUGCCAGCAGCCGCGGUAAUACGGAGGGUGCGAGCGUUAAUCGGAAUUACUGGGCGUAAAGCGCAUGCAGGUGGUUUGUUAAGUCAGAUGUGAAAGCCCGGGGCUCAACCUCGGAAUUGCAUUUUGAAACUGGCAGGCUAGAGUACUGUAGAGGGGGGUAGAAUUUCAGGUGUAGCGGUGAAAUGCGUAGAGAUCUGAAGGAAUACCGGUGGCGAAGGCGGCCCCCGCUGGACAGAUACUGACACUCAGAUGCGAAAGCGUGGGGAGCAAACAGGAUUAGAUACCCUGGUAGGAUAGCGU
RNAcentral lists this ribosomal RNA (480 nucleotides) under uncultured bacterium. RNAcentral describes it as "bacterial SSU rRNA". It matches the Rfam family "Bacterial small subunit ribosomal RNA", at positions 335 to 800 of the family's 1533-position model. The record is from RNAcentral.